AACCUUCAGCUUUCUCUUCUGGACCAUGUUUGGUGCAUCUAAUCAAGGCUAUGUGGACAUGCCAGAUUUUGUCCUGGCUCAGUUUGUGGGCAGGGUCCUGUAUGGGGUCUUCACUCUCGUCAUUGUCAUUAUCCUGCUCAAUAUGCUUAUCGCCAUGAUCACUAAUUCAUUCCAGAAGAUAGAGGAUGAUGCUGAUGUUGAAUGGAAGUUUGCUCGUUCAAAGCUCUACUUGAGUUACUUCAGAGAGGGCUCCACUAUACCUGUACCCUUCAACCUCGUCCCCUCUCCAAAGGCCUUGUUCUACUUACUGAGGGGCUUUUUCUGUUGCUGCAACCGAAAGAAGAUUCCAGACUAUCCUCCUAUUGCCUCUAUG
Oncorhynchus nerka (sockeye salmon) is the source of this 373-nucleotide long non-coding RNA. RefSeq lists it as uncharacterized. The transcript is spliced from 3 exons. The record is from RefSeq and is a predicted model, not a curated record. NCBI's taxonomy places the organism in Eukaryota, Metazoa, Chordata, Actinopteri, Salmoniformes, Salmonidae.